This 345-nucleotide unclassified non-coding RNA is filed under the name soil metagenome. RNAcentral describes it as "partial contains 5.8S ribosomal RNA, internal transcribed spacer 2, and large subunit ribosomal RNA". The stretch from base 1 to 120 matches the Rfam family "5.8S ribosomal RNA", at positions 35 to 154 of the family's 154-position model. The record is from RNAcentral.
GAUGAAGAACGUAGCGAAAUGCGAUACGUAAUGUGAAUUGCAGAAUUCAGUGAAUCAUCGAGUCUUUGAACGCACAUUGCGCCCCCUGGUAUUCCGGGGGGCAUGCCUGUCCGAGCGUCAUUGCUGCCCUCAAGCACGGCUUGUGUGUUGGGCCUCCGUCCUCCUCCCGGGGGACGGGCCCGAACGGCAGCGGCGGCACCGCGUCCGGUCCUCGAGCGUAUGGGGCUUCGUCACCCGCUCUUGUAGGCCCGGCCGGCGCUUGCCGACACAUCAAUCUUUUUUCCAGGUUGACCUCGGAUCAGGUAGGGAUACCCGCUGAACUUAAGCAUAUCAAUAAGCGGAGGA